Non-coding RNA from Potamilus streckersoni, 79 nucleotides. The record is from the annotation of a GenBank genome assembly. Lineage: Eukaryota; Metazoa; Mollusca; Bivalvia; Unionida; Unionidae.
GAUUCCGCGCCGAUGGCCUAGUGGUUAGAGCGUCCGCCUCGGAUACGGGAGGUCGUGGGUUCGAGCCCCGGUCGAGUCA